AGUGAACGCUGGCGGUAGGCCUAACACAUGCAAGUCGAACGGCAGCACAGUAAGAGCUUGCUCUUACGGGUGGCGAGUGGCGGACGGGUGAGGAAUACAUCGGAAUCUACUUUUUCGUGGGGGAUAACGUAGGGAAACUUACGCUAAUACCGCAUACGACCUACGGGUGAAAGCAGGGGAUCUUCGGACCUUGCGCGAUUGAAUGAGCCGAUGUCGGAUUAGCUAGUUGGCGGGGUAAAGGCCCACCAAGGCGACGAUCCGUAGCUGGUCUGAGAGGAUGAUCAGCCACACUGGAACUGAGACACGGUCCAGACUCCUACGGGAGGCAGCAGUGGGGAAUCUUGGACAAUGGGCGCAAGCCUGAUCCAGCAAUACCGCGUGGGUGAAGAAGGCCUUCGGGUUGUAAAGCCCUUUUGUUGGGAAAGAAGAGCAGCAGGUUAAUACCCCGCUGUUCUGACGGUACCUAAAGAAUAAGCCCCGGCUAACUUCGUG
This 492-nucleotide ribosomal RNA is filed under the name uncultured bacterium. RNAcentral's name for it is "partial 16S ribosomal RNA". It matches the Rfam family "Bacterial small subunit ribosomal RNA", at positions 29 to 507 of the family's 1533-position model. The record is from RNAcentral.